Molecule: non-coding RNA, 5399 nt
Organism: Oryctolagus cuniculus (rabbit)
Lineage: Eukaryota; Metazoa; Chordata; Mammalia; Lagomorpha; Leporidae
Source: RefSeq, a predicted model, not a curated record
GAAACGUUUAUUAGGAGCCCCAACUCACAGGAUCACAGACAAUGGAACAGGGAAGUAGCUCAGGAGAUGGUCUGGAAGGUGUCGGCGCCCUCUGCUGUGGCAGUGUCGUGUCCCAGGAAAAGGAGAGACAGCUUCACACUUGAGCCCAGGGUGCCCACUGUAUUCCCGCAACACAGCACAGUCCCAAGAAAGGCCCGCAGGCUGCAUCUGAUUGGCUGCGUCUCCUCUGACGCCAUAAGUGCGCGCCAUUGUGUGAACUACCCAAGCAGGUUGGCCUGGGCAAUGCUGUGUGAAUCUUCUUUCUGGGCUCCGCUGCUCUUGGCUUCCCGGCUCUGCUCCUGGUCGCGGCCUCCCGUGGUCAGCCUUUCCGCUCCCUGUUACGGAGACCUCAGGACCAGGACUCCUCAGAAGCUGGAAAAUGUGACGGUGGCUCAGCUCUGGAGCCCCGAAUCCGCCGACAUUGUUGAUGAGGACAGGAAGGACUUCGAAUUCAGACUUCAGAUCUGGCUGUCAUGGGUGAUGAUAGCAUUUGAAGAUCUAGCUGUGUACUUUACCUGGGAGGAAUGGCAGAAGAUGAACAAAGCUCAGAAAAUCCUGUACAGGCAUGUGAUACUGGAGACCUACAGAAGCCUGUUUUCCUUGGAGGUUUGCUGGAAGAGAAGAGGUUUCCUGGAAGAGAAGGUGAAUGGUAACAGUCUUUAGAAAACUAGUAUGGAUCAGAGAUUCUACUGUGCCAAAUGACAUUAUGACAGAAGUGAGUAGAGAAAACAUGGACCCAUUAGGUGGUAAAAAAUAGACACGUUAGGUGGUAAAGCAAAACAUAAUCCACCUGCUGUUGUGGAAUAACCCUUUAGUCAUGGGAAAAGGCAGGAAGGAGUACCUUCUUAAGAAGAAUACCGGCAAUUUGAUUAAUGAGUAGAAACUAAGAACAAGUCAUUACAGAGUUAAUGGAAACAUCUAUUUGAUAAUUGCAUGAAAAAUGUUACUGUAAAGAAAUAAUUUAAAAAUUUAAGGAUUGUUGUACAAAUGAAUUACAGUAAACCAAAGAAACCUAGUGCUAUCACUAGAAUUUACUCUAUAGAAAAAAUACUUGAGUGGUAUUAACUAUUUUCCUAUUAAUACAAAUGCACACUGGCAUUUCAAUUAGAAUACUUCUUGCUUACAUUCCAUAAACAGUAUGCAUCUGGUUAUCUCACAUUUUUGCCUGCAACUUUAAGGAAAAUGUUCAAAAUAGAUGUUUAUUGUAGUACACGUCUCCAUAAUGCUUCAGAUGACACUUCAUUUAUCCAUGCCCUCACAGUUAUUCCUGACAAUGACCCUUGAUUUUCCCAUUUCAAUUGCUUUAGCCAUUGGGAUAUCAGAAAAUAUGAUACAAGCACAGUGUCUAAUAGUCCUUCUUUGAAACAGUGAUCAAGUGAAGAAACCUGGGGCCUACUUCUUGGAAACAGAGAGAAUAUGUUAGAGCCAGAACAAAUCACCAGACAUGUGAGUGAAGUCAUCUUUAAGACACCAGGCUCAAUCAAGAACUUGACCAGAACCUUGUUAUCUACCUGCUGGAUUUUGCCACAAACAAGGAAAAGAGGUGAAUAUAAGAGUUUCAUGGAGCUCCUGCUGCUACUUCUGCUCCUGUCCUAUUGAGAAUGGGCAUGGAUGCUGUGAUACAGUUGAAGAGAACUUCAGUGGGAAUGUAAUGGGGAUGAUGAUUCUCGGUUCACAGCCAUUAUUCAUUUUCUCUAUGGGUAGGAUAUGAAAUGUACUAUUCAAAUUCUUGUAUCAUCUUAGAUGCUGCAACUGCCCAUCAGUUACUUUAUUCUGCAAACUAAGAGACUCAAGCUUUGAGAUUUCCACCUUAAGUACCUCCACCUCAGACCAAAGAAGCAAAUUUUGUGUACCCUAAAUGCUUAGGUCUUAGGGUCACACUGAUUUAAACAGAAAAUGGAUUGCAUAGAUCAAAAACAUAGAAUGCCAUCAUGGAGUAGUAGGUCCUAAUAUCUGCUCACAACAAUUAUUGUUCCUAUAAUAGUGAUCACUUGUCAGCAGGACAUUCUACAGUUUGAGAUGUGGAUUCCCAGCAAUCUGCAUUGAACAGAGAAAGUGGAAAGGCCACACUCAAUUGCUGACUGAUCAUUUUGCAACUCACUUCCUCUCUCUGUAUCAUAGUCAUACCUUCCAUGUAAUGACUGGAGUACUUAAUUUUGAGUACCUAGUCAGUAAGAGGAGUUCUAACAGUUAAUUUGCACUGAAUGCAGAAGAAUAAAUAAUAUAGUCCCUAUAGCAAAAACUAAAGAGAUCAAUGACAAGAGAAUACACUAAUUAAGGAUUCCCUUGGAAUUAAGGGAUUACUCAUUACUAAUGAAGAUAACACAGUUAUGCACCUUAGGUGUCUGAACUUGUUGAGCUCUCUAUUCCUUAAAUACAUUCUAUAGGAACAUAGAUGAGGCCAGUGCUGCAGCUCACUAGGUUAAUCCUCCAUCUGCAGUGCCAGCACCCCAGGUUCUAGUCCUGGUUGGGGUGCCAGAUUCUGUCCCAGUUGUUCCCCUUCCAGUCCAGCUCUCUGCUGUGGCCCGGGAGUGCAGUGGAGGAUGGCCCAGGUCCUUGGGCCCUUCACCUGCAUGGGAGACCAGGAGGAAGCACCUGGCUCCUUGCUUCAGAUUGGCGCAGCAUGCUGGCCAUAGCGGCCACUUAGGGGGUGAACCAACGGAAAAAGGAAGACCUUUGUCUCUCUCUCUCUCUCUCACUGUCUAACUCUGCCUGUCAAAAAAAAUAGAUGAGGGCCGGCGCCGUGGCUCAAUAGGCUAAUCCUCCACCUUGCGGCGCCGGCACACCGGGUUCUAGUCCCGGUCGGGGCGCCGGAUUCUGUCCCGGUUGCCCCUCUUCCAGGCCAGCUCUCUGCUAUGGCCAGGGAGUGCAGUGGAGGAUGGCCCAAGUGCUUGGGCCCUGCACCCCAUGGGAGACCAGGAAAAAGCACCUGGAUCCUGGCUCCUGCCAUCGGAUCAGCGCGGUGCGCCGGCUGCAGCGGCGGCCAUUGGAGGGUGAACCAACGGCAAAAGGAAGACCUUUCUCUCUCUGUCUCUCUCACUGUCCACUCUGCCUGUCAAAAAAAAAAAAAAAUAGAUGAGAUUAACAUCACCAUCAUCAACAAUCUAUUGAAGACCUGCACCCUGCAUUAACCAUCAUUAUUAUUGAUUCAGUUUACAUGAUGCAGGUAUUUUUCAUGCAUUUAUAACCAUAUCCAUCUAUAUCUCUCUAUCUAUAUAAUGUUAUACAGAAAGGAAGUCAUAUUUUCUGUAGCCUGGAAUUCAAAAUAUUAGUGUGUUAAUAUCACACACAAAAAGUGAAAUAAUUAAAUAUACACAUUUCAAAAUUAUUAGGAAUCAUAAAUUUCCUAAAAUGUAUAUUAUAUAUGAGUAUAAUUAACUUGCCAUAUUAUUCAUCCAUUGAAAGUGUAAAGUUCAGGGGAUUUAAGAAAUGUGCAACCAUAAUGAAUGCCAGGUUAGAACAUUUUUACUAUCUCAAAAAGAAAUUUAGUGCCCUGACUCACGGCAGUGGCAGGGAGAUGGCAACAGUUGGCCAGUGGCUCUUCUGUAUACAUGUGAUCCAGAGAUUCUAUCAGAAGAAAAAAUCCUAGGUCCCCACCUUCUUUGAGCCUGGCUACAAGGACAGGGAGCUGGGCACCCACUUGAGACUGUGAGGCACUCCUGGCCUCCUAAUAUACCACAGGCUCUGGGGCUCAAGCCACUUAGGCUGAACUCCAGCAGACAGUGGACUCAGGGAAAAGUCUGCCUCUCUGUGGACUGGACAGGUGGGAGGUGGAGCAGACUCACUGCACCCCGCAACUACAGGAUCCUUGUGUGCUGAGGCUGUGAGGACACGCUGGCUGCAUGAGAAGGUACAGCAUGUAUCUCGGCCUCUGAGAAAUCACUGUGUGUGGCUCUAAACACUCAAGACAAUGAGACCUGUGCUUGGAGUGAGGACUGCAGAUCGUGUCUGUGGUUCACACAUGGGUGCAGAUGAGUGUUGCGCCCACUGGGGGCUAACACCUGAGCAUUGAUCAACUUGGAGGAAAGCAGAUGAGGCUGUGAUCACACCAACAGAGGUGACCAUUCACUCCCUUUUGUUAACAAGAGGAGAUCUACCUCACCCUAGUUGGGACUUACCCUGGAUACUCACACCAUGCUAGGGCAUUGACCACAGCUCUCUGGUCACACCCAGCACACACCUCUGGGCAUUCACUGAAAGUGCAAGCGUUCCACUAAGCCACAAAGCAUACUUCAAAGAUAAAAGCCAUCAGAGGAAAAAACCAACAAGUGUAGCCACAAAUGUCUAAAAAUAUAUGCAGAAAUUCAAUUCAAGAAACAAGAAUAAGGAACACAGCAUGACACCCCCAAUAAAAGGAACACAACAACACAUCAAUUUUUUUAAGGUCACACUGUUUUUAUUUUCUUGCUCAAUGAAAAUAAUUUUUGAAACUUCAAUGUGUACAUUAAAUGUAUAGAAUAUCUGCAACACAUCAAUUUUAAAAUGUAAAAAUGAAGAGCUUGAUGAAAUGCUGGAAAUGAGAUUGAAAAAAUUAAUCAUAGGAUUACUCAAAAGCAAACAGAAGCAAACCCAUGAAUUAAAGAAAGCCAUACAUUACAUGAAAGAAAUUUUUUCCCAUGAAAUUGGGAUUUUAAAAUCAUAAUCAAAGUGAAAUAUUAGAAAUGAAGAAUUCAAUAGAUCAAAUAAAAAUCCAGUGGAAACCCUUAACAACAGACUUAUAAAGGAGAAGAAAGACUAUCCAAGCUAGAACACAAAUCUUGGAAGGAGAAGGAGGACAAGGAGGAGGAGGAGAAGGAGGACAGAUAAUUAGAAAAUGCUAUACCAGAAGAAGAAGAAACUAGAAAAUUAAGAACAGUGUUGGAGAUUUAUGUGAUACUAUCAAACAACCCAACAUAUAGUUCUUAGGAGUUCCUGAAUUUGGAGUUCCCUGCAGACCUGGAGGAGGCUCCUGGCUCCUGGCUUCAGAUCAGCUCAGCCAACUGGGGAGUGAACCAGUAGAUGGAAGACCUCUCUCUCUCUCUGCCUCUCCUUCUCUCUCUGUGUAACUCUGACUUUCAAAUAAAUAAAAUAAAAAUUAAAAAAAGAAAUAUCUAGAAAUGUUUCUGUAUACUCAGAUUUUGGCAAAGAAGAUUGAAGAAGGUGGUUAGAAACUUAAGGGCUCUUUGCUAAAGAGCUUAGGAGAGUGCAAUCUAAGAUGUCUGUCCCAACUCAUUCUUUAAGUAAUAGAAGUCUGAGAGGCCUUGUGUGAUUAUGUAAUGUUCCUUCUUUUUUCUAAAAUAUAAAAAAGAAAACCCACAAAAACAUAAAAAUAAAAUUAUCUGGUUUUGUGCUUGUUCAUUUUUCUAAACUAAGCAUACAUC